This 541-nucleotide long non-coding RNA is filed under the name Daucus carota (carrot). Its description in RNAcentral is "long non-coding RNA (DCAR_LNC005635)". Lineage: Eukaryota; Viridiplantae; Streptophyta; Magnoliopsida; Apiales; Apiaceae. The record is from RNAcentral.
GUUUGGUCUGAAGACGGAAGCCUCCUCGGCCGCUACCAAGGCGAAAAAUCUUCAGAAGAAAUAUGACGAUGAGGAUCGAGCAAAUCAAAACCUUUUCAAAGUCGUUGAAUGACUUCAAUACUUUCUCCUCCAGAGUUCUCAAUCAAGCUAACGAGACUAUUUCCUUGCUUCAGAAGGAGUUAGAAGUUGAGCGGGUCUCUAAAGGAAAAGAACAGAGCGACGCCUUUACUACCGGGUUCUUAACCUAUCUUGUCAACUUCAUAGCGGCCGUCCCUGAAUAUGAUUGGGAAAGCCCUUUGGUCCCGCCACUCCUGCAUACAUGGUAGACUUCAAAGUGGCCGGGGCAGCUGAAAUAGAGGAGGCAAGUAUCAAUCUUAAGGCGAAGAUUAAAUCUGACACUGAAGCUAUGGCGGAGAAAGAAGGUAAUGAUGCCGAGGUUGAAAGCGAGGAUGUUAACCCCGGUGGCGAGGAAGCUCGUUCUAAUGAUUAGAACAAUUAAAUUUAAGCUUGAUCUUUUGAAGUACAUUUGGAGUGCGAGNNN